RNAcentral lists this long non-coding RNA (1245 nucleotides) under Polistes fuscatus (common paper wasp). Its description in RNAcentral is "uncharacterized LOC122513347". The record is from RNAcentral. Lineage: Eukaryota; Metazoa; Arthropoda; Insecta; Hymenoptera; Vespidae.
AGAUGACAAGAAAUACGCUUGGCGGCACCUGUUCGCGUCAUCAUUUGGGUUCCGCUUUUGCGCGUUCACCGAGUAACGAGACUCUAAUUAUAUCGUUGAUCGUCAUAAAUUAAAGUCAAGUUGCGUGGUCACGCUAGGCCCAGUGCUACCCAAGCGCAAGCAAGCAAGCAAACAAGCAAGCGAGCAAGCAAGAGUCGAUUCGAAUGAUCUUUCCGUCUCCGUCUCCGAGCCAAUAUCUUUCCCGGUCUCUCUCCCCUCCACUUUUGCGCUCGCGCCCACAGAUCGUUUUAACCUCCGAUAAGGUCGGAUCGCAGGAUCCCUUUGAGCGUGUAUACGUGCGUGCGCGCAACUGCUAGCAAGAAAAUAAAGAAAGAAGCAAGGAAAAAAGAAAAGAGGAACGUUUACGUAGUAGACGCGGGAGCGCCCGCCUGCGCGCUCGCGCGCACACGCACAUUUUUACACAGCGUGCUCGAUGGGAUCUUUUAGUAGGAAAAGUCGUCGUCGUCGCACGACUAUGUAACGUGGAGAGAUAACGACCGAAACGAGAAAGAGAAACUUCUUUAACGAGUAAGAAAGAAAGAAAGAAAGAAAGAAAGAAAGAUGGAAAGAAAUAGCGUAUGAGGGAAUUUUCCUCGGCAAAACCGCGCCACGCCUACGAUCUAGGGAUUCGUAAAAAUAAUCGUUCAAAAGUUCUGGGACAGAAAAAACAACAUCGAGCAUUUCCUCGAGAAUCGGUUGAAAAAUGACGAACGGAAGAAGACUAACACAAAUGGAGACUUUUUUUUUUUUGGUUGAACUGGUUAGUUUCUAAUAAGGAGACAUUUGUUAGCUUAUUGUUAGUUGGAAGAUUUCGUUUUCACUUUACAAAAGGUGUACAAUAGAAUAGGUGAAGAGCAAUGUUCUAUUGCUAGGUCAGUAUUCCUAGAAUUGUAAAGAAGGACAGAACCAAAAAAUUACCAUAAUAAAAUUUUAGACAAUUCAUUCUCGAUUUACAAAAAUAUAAUUCUCUUGUACGUCAAAUCCUACAGCAGAUAUAUAUACAAUACAAUAUGUUCUUUUUAGUGCCGCUUUUGUAUUCAUCGUUGACAUGGAUAAGAGAGCGGUGAAUUCUAAAGGAAACAAUAAAAUUUGUAAAGAAAUUCAUUAAUCGAGAAAAAUGUUGCACGCUAGGCGGGAGAUCGGAAGUUAAAGUGACAAAAAAAGAAGAAAAAAAAGUAUAAAGAGAGACUUCCCAAAAGUGACAGA